CGGGCUUGAGCGCAAGGAGCGGCUGCAGCCGGGCGGCUGGAGUCUGGACUUCGAAUCCGAGUCAGCCCACGAGGAGAUCUACUGGGGCUGCUUCUAUUUCUUCCCUUGGCUCCGAAUGUGCUGGCGAGAGAAAAGGGAACCGCCGUAAUCUGCCAAGCCACACGAAGGCUGUCGUGAUCCUGGUAGUGGGACGUUCACGGCUUGUCUACAGGUCAGCCCAGCAGUGCUGCUGCACCGCAAGGAAAAUUUACCCCACGU
This is a long non-coding RNA of Candoia aspera, 258 nucleotides long. RefSeq lists it as uncharacterized. The record is from RefSeq and is a predicted model, not a curated record. The transcript is spliced from 3 exons. Lineage: Eukaryota; Metazoa; Chordata; Lepidosauria; Squamata; Candoiidae.